RNAcentral lists this ribosomal RNA (285 nucleotides) under Livilla syriaca. RNAcentral describes it as "partial 12S ribosomal RNA". Lineage: Eukaryota; Metazoa; Arthropoda; Insecta; Hemiptera; Psyllidae. The record is from RNAcentral.
GAGUAGUAGGAGUUAAGAUCUUGAAACUCAAAAAAUUUGGCGGUAUUUUAUCUUAUUAGAGGAAUCUGCCCAUUAAUUGAUAAUCCACAACUUUAAUUUACUUUUAUUAGAUUAUUUGUAUACCGUUGUCAUGAAUCUACUAAAAAGUUAUUUUCAAGUAUUUUUAUAUAAUUUAUGUUAGAUCAAGGUGCAGUUUUUAAAAGAUUGAGGUGGAUUACAUUUUUUAUAAUGAAUGAAAAUUAUUGUUUAACUAAUAAUAGAAAUAGGAUUUAAUAGUAAAAGAAU